UACGUAGGUGGCGAGCGUUGUCCGGAAUCAUUGGGCGUAAAGGGUACGUAGGCGGAUAAGCAAGUUAGAAGUGAAAUCCUAUAGCUAAACUAUAGUAAGCUUUUAAAACUGCUCAUCUUGAGGUAUGGAAGGGAAGGUGGAAUUCCUAGUGUAGCGGUGAAAUGCGCAGAUAUUAGGAGGAAUUCCGGUGGCGAAGGCGACUUCCUGGCCAUAAACUGACGCUAAGGUACGAAAGCGUGGGUAGCAAACAGG
Molecule: ribosomal RNA, 252 nt
Filed under: uncultured bacterium
Lineage: Bacteria
Description: partial 16S ribosomal RNA
Rfam family: Bacterial small subunit ribosomal RNA
Source: RNAcentral